AACGUACGCUGGCGGCACGCCUAACACAUGCAAGUCGAACGAAGUAGCAAUACUUAGUGGCAGACGGGUGAGUAACAUGUAGGUAUCUACCCUUUGGCCUGGAAUAACACGAGGAAACUUGUGCUAAUACCGGAUAAGUCUUUACGGAGAAAGCUUUAUGCACCAUUGGAUGAGCCUGCACUUGAUUAGUUUGUUGGUAGGGUAAUGGCCUACCAAGACUGUGAUCAAUAGCUGAUUUGAGAGGAUGAUCAGCCACAUUGGGACUGAGACACGGCCCAAACUCCUACGGGAGGCAGCAGUGGGGAAUCUUGCACAAUGGAGGAAACUCUGAUGCAGCGAUGCCGCGUGAGUGAAGAAGGCCCUUGGGUUGUAAAGCUCUUUCGUCGGGGAAGAAAAUGACUGUACCCGAAUAAGAAGGUCCGGCUAACUUCGUGCCAGCAGCCGCGGUAAUACGAAGGGACCUAGCGUAGUUCGGAAUUACUGGGCUUAAAGAGUUCGUAGGUGGUUGAAAAAGUUAGUGGUGAAAUCCCAGAGCUUAACUCUGGAACUGCCAUUAAAACUUUUCAGCUAGAGUAUGAUAGAGGAAAGCAGAAUUUCUAGUGUAGAGGUGAAAUUCGUAGAUAUUAGAAAGAAUACCAAUUGCGAAGGCAGCUUUCUGGAUCAUUACUGACACUGAGGAACGAAAGCAUGGGUAGCGAAGAGGAUUAGAUACCCUCGUAGUCCAUGCCGUAAACGAUGUGUGUUAGACGUUGGAAAUUUAUUUUCAGUGUCGCAGGGAAACCGAUAAACACACCGCCUGGGGAGUACGACCGCAAGGUUAAAACUCAAAUGAAUUGACGGGGACCCGCACAAGUAGUGGAGCAUGUGGUUUAAUUCGAAGAUACGCGCAGAACCUUACCAACACUUGACAUGUUCGUCGCGACUCUGAGAGAUUAGAGUUUUCGGUUCGGCCGGACGAAACACAGGUGCUGCAUGGCUGUCGUCAGCUCGUGUCGUGAGAUGUUGGGUUAAGUCCCGCAACGAGCGCAACCCUCACUUUUAGUUGCCAUCAUUAAGUUGGGCACUCUGAAAGAACUGCCAGUGAUAAGCUGGAGGAAGGUGGGGAUGACGUCAAGUCCUCAUGGCCCUUACGUGUUGGGCUACACACGUGCUACAAUGGUAUCUACAACAGGAAGCAAGACUGCGAAGUUAAGCAAAUCCCUAAAAGAUACCUCAGUUCGGAUUGCACUCUGCAACUCGAGUGCAUGAAGCUGGAAUUACUAGUAAUCGUGGAUCAGCGUGCCACGGUGAAUGCGUUCCCGGGUCU
RNAcentral lists this ribosomal RNA (1306 nucleotides) under uncultured bacterium. Its description in RNAcentral is "bacterial SSU rRNA". It matches the Rfam family "Bacterial small subunit ribosomal RNA", at positions 28 to 1381 of the family's 1533-position model. The record is from RNAcentral.